Molecule: long non-coding RNA, 9122 nt
Filed under: Zea mays
Lineage: Eukaryota; Viridiplantae; Streptophyta; Magnoliopsida; Poales; Poaceae
Description: long non-coding RNA (ZMAY_LNC004728)
Source: RNAcentral
UAAGAAGAAACACCUUCGGAAGACUGGCACAAAGCCGAAGCUAUCAAUCAAAGAGCUUCGGAGUACAUUUCCAAAUGCACCGACUUAAAGAUGAAAUGACCAAUCGGCCCGUGAUAACUUGUAUUAUGAUUGUAAACCUUUGUAAAGGACAUGAAUAUAAUUUCUCACAGGCUGUGUCCUGUGCCUAUAAAUAGAUAAACAGUACCCCUGUACUGUUCACGCUCUCCUGUAUUCGCUCGGGCAUCACACUUGGAUUUUUGCCUUCUGCCAAGCCGAAGGUAUAAAUGUAAUUAAUGUCAUAUCUAAAUAUCCAAGUUUAUAUAAUGAUGACAUGUAAAUGAUAUUAUAUGUUUAUUCAUGUUAUCUUUCAUGUUUUAUAUACUUUGUCUUUUAUUACCAUAUACCGUGAUGAUGAAGGUACGUCCUUCAUGACCUUCAUUCGAAGAUCGUUAUAUCCUAAGGGAAAUAAUGCUUCGAAGGACGAAGGAUAUUAACAUUUAAUACUUUGUGUUGCCUUGUUCUUGACUCAUAGCAUUUGAGAACAUGUCCCCAACAUUGGCGCCCACCUCCGGUGAACUCACUUCCACUGUCGAGAUGAUGGCUUCGUUCAACAAUGAAGCUGAAGUAGCUUCGGCUACGAAGAUGGUGCUCCCGAUAACAGGCGGUUCAUGUUCAGACCGGCCAACAAGAAGCAGAAGAAGGAGGCCCAGAGAAGGGUGCAGCAUGUUGGGGUGCAGGGACCCUUCAUCAAGUCAAAAUGGUCCCACAUCCCAAUCACCUUCUCCCAGGAGGACCUUCAGCUCAAGGAUUACCCUCACAAUGAUGCUAUGGUUAUAUCUUGUGUCAUCAAGGGAUUUCUGGUCCAUAAUGUUCUGGUUGAUACAGGCAGUGCAGCGGAUAUCAUAUUUGCUAAGGCCUUCAGACAGAUGCAAGAGCCAGAGGACAAGAUUCAUGAUGCUACACACCCUCUUUGUGGCUUCGGAGGAAGGCAGAUCGUAGCACUUGGCAAGAUCACAAUGCUAGUGAUCUUUGGAUUUGUCCACAACACAAGGACUGAACAGGUUGUGUUUGAUAUUGUUGACAUGGAAUACCCCUACAAUGCAAUCAUUGGUCGUGGGACACUUAAUGCUUUCAAAGCAAUUCUUCAUCCAGCAUACCUAUGCAUGAAGAUACCUUCGGAACAAGGGCCUAUUGCAAUUCAUGGAAGUCAGGAAGCUGCCAGAAAGGCUUAGGGAAAUUGGGCAGACUCAAAAGCCAUCCACAAUAUAGAUGGAGCUGAAGCUUGUGAGCAGUACAAGUACAGAAGAGAGAAGGCUGCUUCGGCUGAUCAGCCGAAGCCCAUGCUUCUAUGUGAAGACAUAGCAGAGCAAAAGGUAUUGUUGGGGUCUCAAUUAUCUGAAGAGCAAGAAAAAACUUUGAUAAGGUUUUUAUUCAACAACAAAGAUGUUUUUGCAUGGUCGGCCAAUGAUCUCUGUGGUGUCAACAGGGACGUCAUUGAACAUUCACUCAAUGUCGAUCCAGCCUUCAGGCCCAGAAAGCAAAGGCUUCGGAAAAUGUCUGAUGAUAAAGCCGAAGGUGCUCGGAAUGAAGUAAAAAGACUUCUCAGUGCUGGUGCCAUCAGAGAAGUAAAAUAUCCAGAGUGGCUAGCUAAUAUUGUUAUGGUGAAGAAGGCCAAUGGCAAAUGGAGAAUGUGUAUUGAUUUCACAGAUCUCAACAAGGCCUGUCCGAAGGAUGAAUUUCCAUUACCAAGGAUAGACUCUCUUGUGGAUGCAGUAGCUUCUUCAGAACUUAUGAGUCUUCUGGAUUGCUACUCAGGAUAUCAUCAAAUAUGGAUGAAGAAGGAGGAUGAGCCGAAGACUAGCUUCAUAACUCCUAGUGGCACCUAUUGCUAUCUUCGGAUGCCUGAGGGGCUCAAAAAUGCUGGAGGCAGUUUCAGCAGGAUGACGGCCAAGGUCCUUCAUUCCGAGAUAGGCAGAAAUGUCCUAACUUACGUUGAUGAUAUCAUAGUAAAAAGAACGAAGCAAGAAAAUCAUAUCACUGAUCUGUAAGAAACAUUUGCUAAUUUCAGACAAGCUGGUCUGAAAUUAAAUCCUGAAAAGUGUGUCUUUGGAGUGAAGAAGGGUAAGUUCCUUGGCUGUCUGGUUUCAACGAAGGGGAUUGAAGCUAACCCAAGCAAGAUUGAAGCCAUCCUUCGAAUGGAACCGUCGAGCACAAAGAAGGGGGCCCAACGGUUGGCAGGAAGACUGGCUUCAUUGAAUAGAUUUACAUCUAGAUCAGCAGAAAGAAACUUGCCAUUCUUUGAAAUACUAAAGUCAGCCGAAGUCUUUCAAUGGGGCCCAGCUCAACAGAAAGCCUUCGAAGAGCUGACGCAAUACUUGAUUGAUAUAACAACAUUAACUCCACCUGCGCCAUGAGCUCCGUUACUAUUGUAUGUGGCAGCUUCGCACUCUGCAGUAAGUGUGGCGCUUGUGCAGGAGAAAUUGGAAGGACAAAUCAAAAAGCAAGCCCCAGUAUACUUUGUCUCCGAAGUUCUAAGCUUAACAAAGAAAAAUUAUACAGAAUUGGAGAAGGUGUUGUAUGCUGUCUUAAUGGCCUCUAGGAAGCUUCGGCAUUAUUUUCAAGCAUUCCAUAUAAUUGUUCCUUCAUCACAACCUCUGAAGGAUAUCAUGAGGAACAGAGAAGCUACUGGAAGGAUUGGAAAGUGGGCUGCGGAACUCAACGAAUUCAGCAUUGAUUAUGUGCAUAGAUCCUCAAUUCAGUCCCAGGCGUUAGCAGACUUCAUCGCUGACUGGACGUCAGGGGCUCAGGAAGAAGAAGCAAAUAAAGAUGUCGAAGCUUGGACAGUGUUCUGCGACGGUUCCUGGGGAACCUUUGGGGCAGGUGCGGCUGCUGUUUUAGUUGCACCUUCCAAAGUCAGAACAUGCUAUGUAAUAAGGCUUGAUUUCAGCUGUACAAAUAAUAUUGCUGAAUACGAAGCUUUACUUUUGGGGCUUCGGAAGUUAAAGCAAUGGGGAUAAGAAGGGCGAUCCUUAAAACCGACUCCCAAGUUAUUUCUGGUCAUAUUGACAAGAGUUGUAAGGCAAGAGAUCCAAAGCUUGAGAAAUACCUGGACACAGUUCGAAGGCUUGAAGCUUCAUUCGAAGGGUUUUCUGUUAAGAAUAUUCCAUGAGGAGAAAAUGAGCACGCUGAUCUGUUAGCCAAGUCAGCAGCACAGGGGCUGCCUCUACCUUCGGAAGUAUUUUUUGAAACAAUAAGAGCACCUUCGGUGGAACUUCUCGAAAGAGCAGUGCUCAUUAUAUCUCCUGUUCAUAGUGAAGAUUGGAGGACUGAGAUUAUAUCUUUCCUCCAAGGUAAUUGCCUUUCAGAUGACGAAGCUUAUAAUAAGAGAAUAGAGGCAAGAACAAGACCAUAUGUAAUAAUAGAAGGAGAGUUAUACAAACAUGGAGUCUGCUCUCCACUUCUCAAGUGUCUAUCCAGAACCAAAGGUAUAGAGCUGAUGAAGGAAAUACAUGCAGGCUUGUGUGGGUCUCACAUUGGAUCUAGACCUUUGCUGGGGAAGGUCUUCAGACAAGGAUUUUAUUGGCCGAAGGCGGCUUCGGAUGCAACGGAUCUGGUUCAAAAGUGCGAAAAUUGUCAAAAAUGUGCAAGAGACCAGAAACAACCUUCAUCGCUAACCUAGCUAAUACAACCAACCUGGCCAUUGCAAAGAUGGGGCCUGGAUUUGUUAGGUCCACUUCCACCAGCACAAGGCAAUUUAAGAUAUGUUGUGGUGGCUGUAGAAUAUUUUUCUAAAUGGAUUGAAGCGAAACCUUUGGCCACAAUAACUUCGGUCACAGUCUAGAAAUUCUUUUGGCAAAACAUUGUUUGUCGCUUCGGCGUACCAAAGGCUAUAACUGUGGACAACGGGACACAGUUUAAUGCCGAAGCUUUCAAGGAAUUAUGUGAUCAAAUCAGCACGAAGAUUCAUUUUGCGUCAGUCAGAUAUCCAGAGUCAAAUGGACUUGUCGAAAGAGCAAAUGAUAUUAUAAUGAUAGGAAUAAUGAAGUUAAUUUUUAAUCAACCUAGAGGAAAGUGGCCAGAAGAGUUGAUUAAAGUGGUGUGGACCCACAAUACAACUGUAUCAAGAUCAACAAGUUUUACGCCAUUCAAGUUAUUAUUUGGUGACGAAGCUAUAACCCCAGAAGAAGCUAAAACGGGGUCAAUAAGAACAACAGCUUCGACUGAAGACGAAGCUGAUUAUCAUGUGGCAAAAGACACUAUAGAAGGGGUCAGACUUCAGGCUGUGGAAAAUAUAAAUAAAUAUCAAGCCGAAACAAUAAAAUGGCGCGACAGAAAAGUCCGACUGAAAAAUAUCAAGCCAGGGCAUUUUGUGCUUCGGAGAGUGGCUAAUCCGGACAUAGUAGGCAAACUACAGCUGAAGUGGGAAGGACCUUUUCUGGUAGUAUCUUCGUCAAGGCCUGGUUCUUACAGAUUAAAGGAUAUGGAUGGCAAUGACAUUCCUAGAUCUUGGAACGCGGAUGAGCUUCGACGGUAUUAUGUAUAGAUUGAUGUAAUCUUUUUUAUUUUUUCUAUGGCACACUUUUCCUUUCCAAAGGGGGAGAAAGGUUUUUAAUGAGGCCACAGUUUGUAAUUUUUCCUUUCUUAUUUAGCUCCAUGAGAGCAAAAUCCCCCAAAAUAUGUAAAUGUAAAAUCUGAGCAUGCACCAUCGAGUGCAAAGAAAAAGAGAAAACUGGGAGAAGCUCGAAAGUCGUCCCUAAGGGGAUGCAGAGCAUGACGAAGCUACAAAAAGCCGUUCCUAAGGGAGCGCAGUGUAAGUUUUCUGCUCAAAAGUCGUUCCUAAGGGAAUGCAGAGCCAAAUACCGCCGAAAUAUAAGGCAAAGCACGAAAAGUCAAUGCGAAUACCGCCGAAAUAGAAGGCAAAGAAGUUCAAAAGACGUCCUAAGGGGAUGCAGAACUUACACCGAAAAAUAAGCGGUGCAGCAGAAAAAUAAACGGCAAAGAGAUUUCAGUCAUUCCCAAGGGAAUGAAGGUUAUGGAUGAAGCUUCGUAUGUGUGUGUGUUUGGGCAUUCAUUUGCACGAUACAUUACAUCAUACAGUGCAUUCAUAAACAUUCAUUUAGACAUACAUAGGAUCAUCAUCAUACCAUACAGAUACAGACAGUUGCUUUGGCUCUAAGCAUACAGCUUCAAAAGCAGAUUCAUGCUUCGUUGCGUACGAAAAGAAGGGAAGGUGUUUUUCGCCUUCAGCUCAAAAAAUACAAGUUUCGUCCACAUCAAAGCAUUCCAUACAUCGAUGGAAAGGUAACAACAUAUUACAAGGUAUGAACAAAUUUACAUAGUAGAAUCUGAUUCUUAAGUUACAAUAUUCUUUAUAAAGGUUAAUACAAGAGCUUUCUUAGAAUUUUUUCCACAACUAGGUAUUUGAGCUUCAUCACCAUCUGUUGAGCUUCGGUUGUUUGCUAAGCUUCGGUUCUGUAUUCUUCGGCUUUGUCAUCCUGUACAUAUCAAAACAUUAUAAGGAAAAUUCAAAUUUUGAGGAAAAGAUAAGCACAAGGUAUGAUUUUAUUUAUCGGCUUGAGGUGACUUUGAGCUUCGUCACCAGCUAGGCUUCGCCCACCCUUCGUCCAGAUUUGCUUUAUAAAUUUGUUUCCUAUGCUUCGAGCAAGGCUGGGGAUAUCAGUCAAAUCUGCUGGUGAUAAGAUGAAGUUUGGUCUAUUAACAAUUUUCCCAUGCGUGCAACCAGACUUCAUGAAGGCAACAGCUGUGCCCCGAGAAGCUACCAGGGCACAGAAAUCACCGUGUCCGUCUAUAACUUCAUCAAGAGCAUCAACUUCGCCAUCAAUGUGUUCGAAGGUCCCUGGCAGGUCUUCAACCGAAGGACUGAAUUUCUCAGAGCUAGCUCCAACCGAGUUGAAGACCUGCUUUAGCCGCUGCAUGCAUCGGUUGCUGAACUCUAGACAUUUAUCUUGAAGCUAUUUUAAUGAUUUUUUGCAAAUUUGAACUUUUUUCGACCUCAGCUUCAAACUUCGUAUCAAAUCUCUGCUUUUCUUGUUUGAAGCUUUCUGAUUUUGAGAGAAGCUCCUUAUCCAACUUUGCAAUCUUGGCUUCAGCUUCUGCCAGUAAACCUUCCAUUGUUUGAAGUUCGAAAUCUUUCUUUUCAAGAGCAGCUGCUUGAUCUUUUAUUUUGCUUUCUAAACCUUCAAUUAUAACUUCAUGCUUUUUAUCUUCAAGGUCCUGUUGCAUCCUCAAAGCUUUACUCAAUAACAUACUCUGUACAAGAGCAACCUUCGUUAGAAAACAUCUUCGUUGUUAAAAAUAAUGAAAAGUUGAAAAGUUUUUACCUUGAAGUUAGAAUAGAAUAAACUACCGACAAUAUGCUGUCGUCGGUAGCGGCUGAUAUCAGUCUCAAGCUUCGGGAAACCAAUACUCUUCGACAGAGUACCGACGACCUUCGCUCCAGUUCGAUCUCGGAGACAACCUAAGCUUUCAUCGUCAAUACCGUCGAAGAGUAGAGCCCCUGGCUGAUACCCGCAGGAUAUGGCAUAGUCUCUCAAUUCUUCUUUCUCAGCCUUUGACAAUUCUUGUCCAAUUAAGUUUUGAAAGUUGAAUUUUUCUUCUUCUAAAGUAUCUUUGGCUAUUUCCUUCUCCUUCCCAGGCACUGUGGCCAUGGUUUCUUCGGCGGCUGUAGCAGCUUCUUCUGCGGCCAUGUCCAGAAGUAUUUUAUCAAUAUCAGAGAGUGUGCUUUCUAGAUUUGCAUCUUCGACAGUUGCAGCUUCAGCAGGUGCAGCUUCGGUAGCUGUAGCGCUCUCGAUAGCUGGUGCCUUUGACGCCGAAGCUGGCGAUGGGGUUUCUUAAAUAGCUUCUGUCACAGUAAUAAUCCUUCGUUUUUUCGGCCCAGCAGACUUCUUCGCUGCCGAGGGCUCCUUCUUCUUCUGUAAAAGCUUCGUCAGAUGUGGCCCCAGUGGACUUAGCUUGAUAGGCAAGGAUUCAGUCAUUACCUUUAGAAUUUCUUACACGUCGGCAGCAGAAGGUGUUGAAGGAGUCUCUUCUUUCGUAUCAGUCGCCUUCUGCUUCGGAGCCGUAGCUUUCCUUUUCUUCGGAGCAACUGCCUUCGGCUCAGGGCUCAAUUUUCUCUUCUUCAGGAUUUCUUCAUCUUCUUUCACCAUUCUAGCAGUCUGUCUGCCCACGACACUAACAAUUCUUUUUCUUUUUUGCCCUUCGGCGCCCUUGUUCAAACGCUCAUAGUCUGGAUAUUCAAAAUUCAGGGCAUCCAUUACCCGAUUCAAUCUUCGCUUCGGUCGGGCGCCAAAGGCUGCAGUCAUCAACUGAUCUUCUUUUCUCGUAUAAUUGCCCAAAAUCUCAUUGCACAUAACUUCAAUUGUAUCCAACCAUUCUUGGCAGGGUUCUUUGAAGUGUUUCUUGAACUUGAAAUGAUAGGGCAGUCGAACGAGUUCAUUCUUCUUCUUCUCUCUUUCAAGCUUCGGCAUACCCCAUUCCCUUAGCGUUGGGAAUACUCGGUUGGCCAAGUAUUCUUGAACUAAAUCUCUAGUUCCAUUAUGUUCAUAUACAACUCUAAACUUAUACACAGCAUCUGGGCAUGGUGCCCCCGGUGUCAUGUUGCACUGAGGCCUAGUCAGCCCGAAGGUUAGCUCCAGCGGGCUCUGAACUAGCUUCUCCUUUUUCUCAUCAAUCUUAACAUAAAACCAUUCAGACUUCCAACCGGUCGGCCAUUUAGAGCGAUAGCUGACCACCGGUGUCUUCAUGUCUUUAUGAUAAGCAAAAUUAUAGCAGCCGAAGUUCUCAUGCAGUCCGUCUUCCCUAGCCUUCGUCUGAUAAUGAAGUUCAUGUACUCGGCAGAAGGCUUCCGCGAGCAGCUCCACCCCUUGAAUUCGGAGAGCCCAGAUAUAUACGCUGAGCUUAACAAUGGCGUUAGGGGUCAGCUGAUGAAGGUAAAUCUCAAAAUUUUCCAAGACAUCUGCAACCAUCCCGUGCAGAGGAAAUCUCAACCCUGCUUUGAAGAGGCUCUUAAAAACCACCACUUCAUCAUUUUCUGGUUUCGGGAUAGUCUCUUCCCCGCCAAAACGAAUCAACCCCUUAUCGGCUUCUCUGAAGUAGCCUAACUUCGUCAUCAUAGCCAUAUCAGCUUCAGACACAGUUGACUUCCCAAAAUCCAAAUGGCUGGGCUUCGAUGGCAUAGCAGUGUUAUAAUCAAUCUCUUCUUCACCAGUAUCGCCCUCUUCAAUAUCUGCCUGGUCCGCUUUAGUAGCAGGGGCGUCUUUGUCAGGAGCGCCCUCCGUCAUAACUAGUCCCGACCGCCUCAUAACUUCGGAGAUCGGAGCAGUUUUAGUAGCUUCGGUUUCCUCUCCGUCGUAUGUAACCCUAGCUGUUGAGCGCACCCUGGACAUUUGAUGUUGAAUUUCUUGCAUUUUGACGAAGUUGAUUAUUUUUGACGAAGCUCUCUCUUGUCACGAAGCUAGAGCAAAGUGAUCCUUUGAUUGGGAAUACGAUGAACAAGCUUCGGCGGUGGUCAAAUUUUUUGGCAGCACAACAGUGCAAUAGCAGUAAAUGUUGUGGUAACUUCAUAACUACCCGUCUGUUUAUAUAGUGCUGCAGGUGGGAAGGUGAAUCGUCAAGUCGCUCGCACCCGCUGAACAGUCACCCACACUCGCUGAACGGUGGACCAUAGCGCCUAAGAAGAUGAAUCACCAGAUCGCACGUACCCGUUGUAUGGUGGGACUACCCUUCACUCGGAAUAUUUAAAUCGUUUCUCGGCAACGAGCUAAGGGAAGGUGUUUUUCGGACCUUCGGCAUUCCGAAGCCUGAGAGAGUUUUUCACGGGUCGAGCUCGUUACGAAAAACGAUCUGGCACCGUGAAGGGGCUACUGUUGGGGUCUGCUUCGUCGCCGAAGGUCCCAUAAGAAGAAACACCUUCGGAAGACUGGCACAAAGCCGAAGCUAUCAAUUAAAGAGCUUCAGAGUACAUUUCCAAAUGCACCGACUUAAAGAUGAAAUGACCAAUUGGCCUGUGAUAACUUGUAUUAUGAUUGUAAACCUUUGUAAAGGACAUGAAUGUAAUUUCUCACAUGCUGUGUCCUGUGCCUAUAAAUAGAUGAACAGUACCC